This 465-nucleotide ribosomal RNA is filed under the name uncultured bacterium. Its description in RNAcentral is "partial 16S ribosomal RNA". It matches the Rfam family "Bacterial small subunit ribosomal RNA", at positions 28 to 507 of the family's 1533-position model. The record is from RNAcentral.
GACGAACGCUGGCGGCGUGCUUAACACAUGCAAGUCGAACGGAAAGGCCCCUUUGGGGGUACUCGAGUGGCGAACGGGUGAGUAACACGUGAGUAACCUGCCCUUGACUUCGGGAUAACUUCAGGAAACUGGGGCUAAUACCGGAUAGGAAUCCUUGCUGCAUGGUGGGGGUUGGAAAGCUUCGGCGGUUUUGGAUGGACUCGCGGCUUAUCAGCUUGUUGGUGGGGUAGUGGCUUACCAAGGCUUUGACGGGUAGCCGGCCUGAGAGGGCGACCGGCCACAGUGGGACUGAGAGACGGCCCAGACGCCUACGGGAGGCAGCAGGGGGGAAGAUUGAACAAGGGGCGGAAGCCUGAUGCAGCAACGCCGCGGGCGGGAUGACGGCCUUCGGGUUGUAAACCGCUUUCAGCAGGGGCGAAGCUUGUGGUGACGGUACCUGCAGAAGAAGCACCGGCUAACUACGUG